GGAGGGUGCAAGCGUUAUCCGGAUUUACUGGGUUUAAAGGGUGCGUAGGUGGGCAGGUAAGUCAGUGGUGAAAUCUCCGGGCUUAACCCGGAAACUGCCAUUGAUACUAUCUGUCUUGAAUAUCCUGGAGGUGAGCGGAAUAUGUCAUGUAGCGGUGAAAUGCUUAGAUAUGACAUAGAACACCAAUUGCGAAGGCAGCUCGCUACGGGAUUAUUGACACUGAGGCACGAAAGCGUGGGGAUCAAACAGGAUUAGAUACCCUGGUAGUCCACGCCCUAAACGAUGGAUACUCGACAUACGCGAUACACUGUGUGUGUCUGAGCGAAAGCAUUAAGUAUCCCACCUGGGAAGUACGAUCGCAAGAUUG
RNAcentral lists this ribosomal RNA (367 nucleotides) under uncultured organism. RNAcentral's name for it is "bacterial SSU rRNA". It matches the Rfam family "Bacterial small subunit ribosomal RNA", at positions 527 to 896 of the family's 1533-position model. The record is from RNAcentral.